AGUGAACGCUGGCGGUAGGCCUAACACAUGCAAGUCGAACGGCAGCACAGUAAGAGCUUGCUCUUACGGGUGGCGAGUGGCGGACGGGUGAGGAAUACAUCGGAAUCUACUUUUUCGUGGGGGAUAACGUAGGGAAACUUACGCUAAUACCGCAUACGACCUACGGGUGAAAGCAGGGGAUCUUCGGACCUUGCGCGAUUGAAUGAGCCGAUGUCGGAUUAGCUAGUUGGCGGGGUAAAGGCCCACCAAGGCGACGAUCCGUAGCUGGUCUGAGAGGAUGAUCAGCCACACUGGAACUGAGACACGGAACAGACUCCUACGGGAGGCAGCAGUGGGGAAUAUUGGACAAUGGGCGCAAGCCUGAUCCAGCCAUACCGCGUGGGUGAAGAAGGCCUUCGGGUUGUAAAGCCCUUUUGUUGGGAAAGAAAAGCAGCAGGUUAAUACCCCGCUGUUCUGACGGUACCCAAAGAAUAAGCACCGGCUAACUUCGUG
RNAcentral lists this ribosomal RNA (492 nucleotides) under uncultured bacterium. RNAcentral describes it as "partial 16S ribosomal RNA". It matches the Rfam family "Bacterial small subunit ribosomal RNA", at positions 29 to 507 of the family's 1533-position model. The record is from RNAcentral.